UGAAGUGUUUGGGGGAACUCU
Molecule: microRNA, 21 nt
Filed under: Asparagus officinalis (garden asparagus)
Lineage: Eukaryota; Viridiplantae; Streptophyta; Magnoliopsida; Asparagales; Asparagaceae
Description: aof-miR395a
Gene: aof-miR395a
Source: miRBase by way of RNAcentral